CAUCAUAAAGCAGCGUCAUCUCGUAUAUGUGCAGGAAUUGGCCUGCAUGUUUCUACCCAAUCACCGGAAUGAUUGGACUACGGGGAACCAACGUGCCGCA
Molecule: non-coding RNA, 100 nt
Organism: Paenibacillus alvei DSM 29
Lineage: Bacteria; Bacillati; Bacillota; Bacilli; Caryophanales; Paenibacillaceae
Source: Rfam